This is a long non-coding RNA of Solanum verrucosum, 256 nucleotides long. RefSeq lists it as uncharacterized. The transcript is spliced from 3 exons. The record is from RefSeq and is a predicted model, not a curated record. Lineage: Eukaryota; Viridiplantae; Streptophyta; Magnoliopsida; Solanales; Solanaceae.
CUCUUGCAAGUUGAAAGCAUUGGUGGCUAUUCUCAAGGUUCAGCCAUGACUUGACAUUGCCAUAUGGAAGAAGUAUCCCGUAAUGAAAUCUCUUUUGCAUGUUUACAUGGAUCCAAGUAAAUUGUUUCAUGGCUUUGCAUGUAUGGAAAUAUCAAGAACAUUACUUCCUUUUAGUGUGACAGCAAAAAUAUGCUACAAUAUGAAAAUGCGGAAGAUCCAAUUUGAGAUGGUGACCUCAAAGUCAAUGAUAUAUCAA